CCAAAAAAAAAUAUAAAAGAAAAUCAUAUAAAAGGCGUUUCUCUGAAGUAUAUCAUUAUUUUUGCUUUUUUCACCAGCGUUAUUCACGAAAUAUUUCUGAUUCAACGUUUCGAUUUUCAAGUAUGAGUCGUUACUGGUGGCCGAAUCGGUCAUAUUGCACGAAAUAAUUCCAAUGCCUCCCGAUGGAAGUUGUUUAUUUCAUUCGAUUGCAAUUUCACUAUUUAAUUCAAAUUCGUUACGACUUUAAACAUUACAUUAUCUCCAUGUUGCAUAAUCUACUAUUAAAAUAAAAAUAAGUUAAAUAAUAGUUCUUGGGUCUUGUAAUUCAAAAUUGUGUUUGCUAGAUGAAACUAUGUUAAAAAACCUAAUAGAUGUUUUCAAUAUACUUUCAAAGUCACUGAUAGUUCUAUUUACUUUGACAUCUAAAGAGAGCCAUUAAUACCAUGGGAAAAUUAAAACUCUUAACAAUAAUUAAAGCUCAUUUCCCAAAAAAAAAUAACAACAACCGUUUUAAAUGACUCUACCAAUCAGCAUUUUAUGGCAAAAAUAUAAAUGAUAUAGACUGUGACCUAAACACUGUAUAGAUAAAUUAAAAAUGUUUCGAAUACCUUUCAAUAUCAGUGAUUGCCGAUUGUGAAGUAAAUACGAACGAAAUACAAUUGAAUGAAGAUUUACUAAGGACAGACUCAAAUUGAAAACACUGACUUCAAUACACCCAAAAUAUUAUGAUGUUUAUAAUUAAAUCAAUUACAAAGUAAUUGUUCGUUUAUAAUACAUCAUAUCACCCUAUUUAGGCAAAAACACCCACAGUGAGUUUGUAUACAAAUACGUAACAAUAUUAUAAAAUCAGUGCAGCACGCUG
This is a long non-coding RNA of Maniola jurtina (meadow brown), 862 nucleotides long. RefSeq lists it as uncharacterized. The transcript is spliced from 3 exons. The record is from RefSeq and is a predicted model, not a curated record. NCBI's taxonomy places the organism in Eukaryota, Metazoa, Arthropoda, Insecta, Lepidoptera, Nymphalidae.